CGGUGGAGAUGGCUCGUGAGAAUUGCUUAUCCUGUUGUAAUAUUGAUGUAUCCAUGUGAACAUUCUGGGGUGUGUUCCGUCGCUUCCUGUUGCUUCAUGAAAAUCAACCAACUUUGCCCUGAAAAAGUCACAGAUUUACUGUUGUCCUUGGAAACCGGAAAUGAAAAUGCAAAGAAUUAUUAUUUUAAGAAGUUCAUUUGAAAAAGUUUCGGUGAAGACGGACUCUUAGACUCUAAUGAACAGAGGGUUCUCUCUGUUGAGUCAUGGCUCUACAACCCACGCUCCGUCAGUUACAAUCCUACAAUACAAGGUCUAAACUAUCCUACUUGCAGCACAUGCUGUUUUGUAUCGUAGCUGAGCUGAUUGCAAUCGUGGGUUUAUAUCCCAUGUUCGGCCUAUAUUCCCUUGUAGAGACGUUUUUCCCAGCAAAUGGGAAGUAACUCGCAAUCACAGCCUUUAAUAAGUAUGGUAGCGUUAGAUUAACAAGCUAUAGCUAUAUUUCAAGCCCUUUUCUGCUUAAUAUCAUCAAUGAGCAGUUCAUCUUUCACGCUGGAGUCAACAUGGCUUAUACCCCUUCACAGUUAUUUUCUUUCGGCUCACCUUAUUCUUAAUGAUCGCAGAAGUGCAGCAAUUUCUGUUGCACCAAUCCAUUUGCUUGUAUUAUGAAGUUUGUUACCAAGCUGUUCUGCGCCUUGUUUAUCGAAUCCUGCAAAGUUAUACGUCAUUUUCUUCAUAAAAACUAGUAAAUGACACCCUUUGAAGGUUUAUACUUAAUAUGUAUAUUGAGAGGAAAUAUAAAGUGACAUUGAAAUUUUGCAUCUAGCAAGUGGUUGACCUAAAUGAUUUGAAAUAUGAAACUUUUGAUUAGUUGAUUGAUUGAUUGUUUGUUUUGGCUUCAAAUAAACUGGCUGAUUGACAUAGAACUACAAAAAAGCUGAUGUAAAUGGCUUGGAAUCUUGAAGUUUGGUCCUUUUUAUGUUAUGCUAUUUAAGAGGUUUUUGGGAACAUUCCUUGAGAUGUGGUCACACUUUGGGAUUUGCCAUUCUGGAAUCUCGUAACUGUAGAUGCAUUUCAUACCAGAGCAUGGACUUGGACCAAGCACACCGGUUUGAGACUAGAGAUCUAAGAUUCGCCCUGUGCAACUGAGAUUAGCACUUAAAUAAAAUGUGAUUUAGGCUGUAAGACAGGACUUGGAUUCUGUCACCACCUAAGACCUUAUGAGUUCAAGAUAGUCAGCCUUUUAAAGACCAAUUACACUUAAAAAAAUGACUUGUUUGUUAACUCUGAUAAAGACCAAUUGUGCCUUAGCAAAAAAUUAUGUUUACAUAUUUUAUUGUCAUUUAAACCUUUUCUCUUUCUUUGCAAAUUUUUAUAUUUUCCUUUCUAAAAGGCUUUAAAAUUUCCACUCAGAUAAACAACAGCCAUAUGCCAUAAAAUUUUAAUAGGUCAUAUUUAUGAAAGAAAAAACAUUACCAAGUUGCCAUGCAUUUUCAAUCAUUGACUGAAUUUUUGGUAUUGAGGGUAUUUCACCCCCAUCAAUCCCUGAAAAUAGAAAAAGGUACAUGAAGUUAACCAAGGUUCUAGUUGUGAAAAAAUUCUUAAACUCGUGUAUUUGCAAAUCAAAGCUAUUCCAUCAAAACUUAAUAAGUAACAAGUAUGUCAUUUCUUCAUAGAGAUACCUUUUCUUAGAAUAAUUCAAUCUGCAAUAAAUCUUCAUUUUGCUUUUCUAGCAAUAUCCAGUAUACUGCUAGUGCUUGGUUCAUUUUCAAACAGGUAUUCACCUCAGCAUCCUACAAAAUUCUUUUAGUGCAUGCUAACCUUUUGAAACCACAUCUCUGUAAAUACUACUGCGAAGCAGAGCAGAAAGGAUCAUCUGAGUGUUCCUAUAGCCACACCCCCAACCAGCAUCACCAACACCACUUGCAAAAUGAUCUGUCUCCAAGCAAAGUUGCACAGUACGGAUACCACUGACUCCAUUUGAAUAGCUAGCUUGAAGGCAGGAUAUGAGGCCUAAAACGUGUCAGCAAGCAAACUCAUUUCUUGAAGCAGAUUAUUCAAAAUAUUGAAAAGUCUUCUAGUUCUAUUGAUAUAGUUAGUAUUCAAAUAUUAAUGAUUUUAUGAAAUAUUAGUCCACUUAGACAUGUUUUCAAAAUCAAAAGUAACUUUUCAAACAAAAUAAGACAUUCUACACCAUUUGUUAGAAUUAUUCUCCCCUUUAAUGAUUAUACAAAACAAUCCAAUUUCAGCAAAGGUGCAGGCAAGUAAAAGUUUGUACAUACAAAUCAUAUUAUGUGUUAAAUAUAUAUACACAAAUUUUCUUGGUUGGCAUUUUUUAAAGCACUUCCUAUAAUGAUUAUGGGUGUUUUUCAAUGCUUUUCCUGUUUAGAUUUCCCUUUUCACACCUCAUACAUGAAAGCAUUUCUUCAAAAACUAUUUAUUAAGUAUUUGACUGGUGGCCAAAUUAAUUUGAUAUGGUAGAGACAAUAAUUAAUCAACAGAAAGCUUUAUCGAAAAGACAAUAUAUGUCAAAUAAAAACUUAAUUGAUGCAAAUAAUUAAAAACAAAGUUUUAUGUUGAGAAAUUGGCUAAUUAGACUAUCCAGAUAUGUGGUACUGAACAUGGUUGAAAAGCUAUGAACACAUCAAGAACUACAGUGUUGAGUAGAACUUUAAACAUGAUAUCCUCAGAUACAUACACUAAAACAUAUAAACUUUAUGUUAAUAUGUUACCUGCAAAUAGUCUUGAAUAUCUGCUUCAUGUACAUUAAGAGUUCCUGAUAGCAGAAACUAAAACCAAUAGCUGAAACCAAUGAUAAAGAAAAUCACUUGACUUACCUUGGGUGUGUGAUUCCUUGCUAUCAUGCCCAGUCAUAAGUGUUUCGUACAUAUCAGCUUUUCUUGCAUAAUAUUCACCUACACUCAUCUUCAUUUUUCCUACAUCCUGUUUCAUUUUUUGGUCAUACUGCUUCGUAUAACCACCUUGAUUCGGUAGCAUGCCAUAAAUUGUCUGCAAUGUAAAAUGAAGGUAAGAAUUCUUCAAAUUACGCAAAGAAAGAAAGAAAGAAAGAAAGAAAGAAAGAAAGAAAGAAAGAAAGAAAGAAAGAAAGAAAGAAGAAAGAAAGAAAGAAAGAAAGAAAGAAAGAAAGAAAGAAAGAAAGAAAGAAAGAAAGAAAG
Non-coding RNA from Rhopilema esculentum, 3173 nucleotides. The record is from RefSeq and is a predicted model, not a curated record. Lineage: Eukaryota; Metazoa; Cnidaria; Scyphozoa; Rhizostomeae; Rhizostomatidae.